GAUGAAGAACGUAGCGAAAUGCGAUAAGUAAUGUGAAUUGCAGAAUUCAGUGAAUCAUCGAAUCUUUGAACGCACAUUGCGCCCGCCAGUAUUAUGGCGGGCAUGCCUGUUCGAGCGUCAUUACAACCCUCAGGCCCCCGGGCCUGGCGUUGGGGAUCGGCGGAAGCCCCCUGCGGGCACAACGCCGUCCCCCAAAUACAGUGGCGGUCCCGCCGCAGCUUCCAUUGCGUAGUAGCUAACACCUCGCAACUGGAGAGCGGCGCGGCCACGCCGUAAAACACCCAACGUCUGAAUGUUGACCUCGAAUCAGGUAGGAAUACCCGCUGAACUUAAGCAUAUCAAUAAGCGGAGGA
This 353-nucleotide unclassified non-coding RNA is filed under the name soil metagenome. RNAcentral's name for it is "partial contains 5.8S ribosomal RNA, internal transcribed spacer 2, and large subunit ribosomal RNA". The stretch from base 1 to 120 matches the Rfam family "5.8S ribosomal RNA", at positions 35 to 154 of the family's 154-position model. The record is from RNAcentral.